RNAcentral lists this ribosomal RNA (252 nucleotides) under uncultured bacterium. RNAcentral's name for it is "partial 16S ribosomal RNA". It matches the Rfam family "Bacterial small subunit ribosomal RNA", at positions 524 to 776 of the family's 1533-position model. The record is from RNAcentral.
UACGUAGGGUGCGAGCGUUAAUCGGAAUUACUGGGCGUAAAGUGGGCGCAGGCGGCGUUGCAGUCGAGUGUGAAAUCCCCGAGCUUAACUUGGGAAUUGCGCUCGAAACUACGAUGCUCGAGUGUGGCAGAGGAAGGUGGAAUUCCACGUGUAGCGGUGAAAUGCGUAGAGAUGUGGAGGAACACCGAUGGCGAAGGCAGCCUUCUGGGCCAACACUGACGCUCAUGCACGAAAGCGUGGGGAGCAAACAGG